UUUGUGAACUGUUCAAAGUUCAAACAGUACAACACUUGCAUUGAGUAACUGAAGUUGGAAACCGAAUCAAAGACAAAAGAGAAAGUCCUCUUUUUUAAUCACUUUAUCGCCCAACUAUAAACGUUGUGGGAUUUUGUGAAUGGCACAGUUCAUAACACAGGGACGCUUGAAGCUGUUCUUCAGUGGCGAGGGAGUGUCACUUGGGUUGGAACCCAAAGACCCAUUUCACUCUAAGCUCAGAUCAGUUCAAACCCACAUGCGCGGGCUCAGGUUUCUUGGCUCUACAAAAACUCGACUUUUCUUCUCUUCUUCUUCUUCAUCUGUGAACAACAAGUCCAGCAAUUUCAGUGCGGAGGCAAGCCUUAAUGUUAGUGAUGAUGAAGGUGUUUAUGACGAGGAUGAUGGUGUUGGUUACGAUGACGAGUUUAAGAGGGAUGAUUUAGCUGAUUUCAGAGGGCUGGUCUUGGACAUCUCAUACAGGCCAAUCAAUGUUGUCUGCUGGAAGCGUGCUAUUUGUUUGGAAUUCAUGGAGAAGGCGGAUGUACUAGAAUAUUAUGAUCAGACAGUAAAUUCCCCAAGUGGAUCCUUCUACAUACCAGCGGUCUUGAGGGUUCCCAAUUUACUGCAGGUUAUAAAGAGGAGAAGAAUCAAGAGCACCCUUAGUCGUAGAAACAUACUAAAUCGGGACGAUUAUACUUGUCAGUAUUGUUCUUCACAUGAAAAUUUAACCAUUGACCAUGUUUUUCCAGCUGCACGAGGCGGAGAAUGGAACUGGGAAAAUCUGGUUACUGCUUGUGCCAAAUGCAAUUCAAAGAAAGGUCAAAAAACUUUGGAGGAAGCAAAUAUGAAGCUGAUUAACAUCCCAAAGGUACCAAAAGACUAUGACAUAGUUUCCAUACCACUAACAAGUGCAGCAUUAAACAUGCUGACAAUAAGAAAGGGGACACCUGAAGAAUGGCGUCAAUAUCUGUCAAAGCCGUACUUAGAACCAUGAGGUUAUCCAUUGUGGCAACUGUAUAUUCCUGUGCUUUGUACAGAUUAAAUCGUUCUCAUUCUUAAUGCUGAAGUCGCCCAGACUAACCUCAAAUUUUAUGUAUUCCACUGCGGUGCAAGCAUUUUACUUUCUUUCCCUCAGAAAUUGCAUUUUGUAGCCCAAAAUAUGAUUCCACAAGGGAAAGGAUGAUUGUGUGGAUAACAAAUUAAUAUGUGACAUGACUGCGACUACUUCCCUUCUACAAGCUGCAUCUGAUUCAAGUUGGUACAAUUAAACCAUUUGAUAAU
Alnus glutinosa is the source of this 1281-nucleotide RNA transcript. RefSeq lists it as uncharacterized. NCBI's taxonomy places the organism in Eukaryota, Viridiplantae, Streptophyta, Magnoliopsida, Fagales, Betulaceae. The transcript is spliced from 8 exons. The record is from RefSeq and is a predicted model, not a curated record.